AGAGUUUGAUCAUGGCUCAGAACGAACGCUGGCGGCAUGCCUAACACAUGCAAGUCGAACGCCCUGCAAGGGGAGUGGCGCACGGGUGAGUAACACGUGGGAACCUGCCCUGGGGUACGGAAUAACGUCGGGAAACUGACGCUAAUACCGUAUACGUCCUGAGGGAGAAAGAUUUAUCGCCCUGGGAGGGGCCCGCGUCCGAUUAGGUAGUUGGUGAGGUAACGGCGCACCAAGCCGACGAUCGGUAGCUGGUCUGAGAGGACGUUCAGCCACACUGGGACUGAGACACGGCCCAGACUCCUACGGGAGGCAGCAGUGGGGAAUAUUGGACAAUGGGCGCAAGCCUGAUCCAGCAAUGCCGCGUGGAUGAUGAAGGCCUUAGGGUUGUAAAGUCCUUUUGGCGGGGACGAUGAUGACGGUACCCGCAGAAUAAGCCCCGGCUAACUUCGUGCCAGCCGCCGCGGUAAUUC
This 470-nucleotide ribosomal RNA is filed under the name uncultured bacterium. RNAcentral's name for it is "bacterial SSU rRNA". It matches the Rfam family "Bacterial small subunit ribosomal RNA", at positions 8 to 526 of the family's 1533-position model. The record is from RNAcentral.